CGGCUGCGGCUCGCGCGCGCGGCCCUGGGCUGGCUCGGUCCGGUUCGGGCGCGAGGUGAGUUGGGCCGGUUCGGCCCAUUUGGCCGGGCCGGUCCGUUUACUUCCUUUUUUUUCUUUUUCCUUUUUCCUUUUCCUUUUUCUGUUUUUCCUUGAUAUCUUUUGAUUUUGAACUCCAAAUUGAUCCAAAUAAAUUUCAGAAAAUUUGUAAAAUCAUAUCAUAAUAUGAUUCAACUUUUGGGACUAAUUUCCCUUCCAAAUAAAAUAUACAAAAAUACAUUUUCCCUAUAAAUGCCUUUAGGGCUUUAUAACUAUUUAAAUAAAAUAGUUUUUCAACUCCAAAUAAAUCUUAAAAAUUAUGGGAUAGCUCAUUUGUGCAAUAAACCCCUUUUAGAAAUAAACCCUAUGGGUUUUAAAGUCAAAACUCAAAUGGGUGAAAAACCUA
Molecule: long non-coding RNA, 442 nt
Filed under: Brachypodium distachyon (stiff brome)
Lineage: Eukaryota; Viridiplantae; Streptophyta; Magnoliopsida; Poales; Poaceae
Description: long non-coding RNA (BDIS_LNC000529)
Source: RNAcentral